This 254-nucleotide ribosomal RNA is filed under the name uncultured bacterium. RNAcentral's name for it is "partial 16S ribosomal RNA". It matches the Rfam family "Bacterial small subunit ribosomal RNA", at positions 524 to 776 of the family's 1533-position model. The record is from RNAcentral.
UACGGAGGGUGCAAGCAUUAAUCGGAAUUAUUGGGCGUAAAGGGCGCGUAGGCUGGGGGACAAGUCAGAUGUGAAAUACCAAAGCUCAACUUUGGUGCUGCAUUUGAAACUGUCUUUCUGUGAGGGUUGACGGGGAAAAUGGAAUUCCACGUGUAGCGGUGAAAUGCGUAGAUAUGUGGAAGAACACCAGUGGCGAAAGCGGUUUUCCAGUUAAUACCUGACGCUGAGGCGCGAGAGCAAGGGGAGCAAACAGG